This 499-nucleotide ribosomal RNA is filed under the name uncultured bacterium. RNAcentral's name for it is "bacterial SSU rRNA". It matches the Rfam family "Bacterial small subunit ribosomal RNA", at positions 28 to 509 of the family's 1533-position model. The record is from RNAcentral.
AAUCAACGCUGGCGGCGUGCCUAACACAUGCAAGUCGAACGCGAGAGGGGCUUCGGCCCCGAUUGAGUGGCGAACGGGUGAGUAACGCGUGGGUGACCUACCUUCGAGUGGGGGAUAACGUCCCGAAAGGGACGCUAAUACCGCAUAACAUCCUGCUUUUGAAUGGGUGGAGAUCAAAGCCGGGGAUCGCAAGACCUGGCGCUUGAUGAGGGGGCCCGCGUCUGAUUAGCUAGUUGGGAGGUAAUGGCCCACCAAGGCAACGAUCAGUAUCCGGCCUGAGAGGGCGGACGGACACACUGGGACUGAGACACGGCCCAGACUCCUACGGGAGGCAGCAGUGGGGAAUUGUUCGCAAUGGGCGCAAGCCUGACGACGCAACGCCGCGUGGAGGAUGAAGGUCUUCGGAUUGUAAACUCCUGUUGCUCGGGACGAAUGGCUCCGGCCUAAUACGUCGGAGUGUGACGGUACCGGGUGAGGAAGCCCCGGCUAACUCUGUGCC